RNAcentral lists this ribosomal RNA (1509 nucleotides) under Enterococcus faecalis. RNAcentral describes it as "partial 23S ribosomal RNA". It matches the Rfam family "Bacterial large subunit ribosomal RNA", at positions 19 to 1530 of the family's 2925-position model. Lineage: Bacteria; Bacillati; Bacillota; Bacilli; Lactobacillales; Enterococcaceae. The record is from RNAcentral.
GCACGGUGGAUGCCUUGGCACUAGGAGCCGAUGAAGGACGGGACUAACACCGAUAUGCUUUGGGGAGCUGUAAGUAAGCUAUGAUCCAGAGAUUUCCGAAUGGGGGAACCCAAUAUCUUUUAUAGGAUAUUACUUUUCAGUGAAUACAUAGCUGAUUAGAGGUAGACGCAGAGAACUGAAACAUCUUAGUACCUGCAGGAAGAGAAAGAAAAUUCGAUUCCCUGAGUAGCGGCGAGCGAAACGGGAAGAGCCCAAACCAACAAGCUUGCUUGUUGGGGUUGUAGGACUCCAAUAUGGUAGUCUGUUAGUAUAGUUGAAGGAUUUGGAAAAUUCCGCUAAAGAGGGUGAAAGCCCCGUAGACGAAAUGCUAACAACACCUAGGAGGAUCCUGAGUACGGCGGAACACGAGAAAUUCCGUCGGAAUCCGCGGGGACCAUCCCGCAAGGCUAAAUACUCCCUAGUGACCGAUAGUGAACCAGUACCGUGAGGGAAAGGUGAAAAGCACCCCGGAAGGGGAGUGAAAUAGAUCCUGAAACCGUGUGCCUACAACAAGUCAAAGCUCGUUAAUGAGUGAUGGCGUGCCUUUUGUAGAAUGAACCGGCGAGUUACGAUUGCAUGCGAGGUUAAGUCGAAGAGACGGAGCCGCAGCGAAAGCGAGUCUGAAUAGGGCGAAUGAGUAUGUAGUCGUAGACCCGAAACCAUGUGAUCUACCCAUGUCCAGGUUGAAGGUGCGGUAAAACGCACUGGAGGACCGAACCCACGUACGUUGAAAAGUGCGGGGAUGAGGUGUGGGUAGCGGAGAAAUUCCAAACGAACUUGGAGAUAGCUGGUUCUCUCCGAAAUAGCUUUAGGGCUAGCCUCGGAAUUGAGAAUGAUGGAGGUAGAGCACUGUUUGGACUAGGGGCCCAUCUCGGGUUACCGAAUUCAGAUAAACUCCGAAUGCCAUUCAUUUAUAUCCGGGAGUCAGACUGCGAGUGAUAAGAUCCGUAGUCGAAAGGGAAACAGCCCAGACCACCAGCUAAGGUCCCAAAAUAUAUGUUAAGUGGAAAAGGAUGUGGGGUUGCACAGACAACUAGGAUGUUGGCUUAGAAGCAGCCACCAUUUAAAGAGUGCGUAAUAGCUCACUAGUCGAGUGACCCUGCGCCGAAAAUGUACCGGGGCUAAACAUAUUACCGAAGCUGUGGACUACACCAUUAGGUGUAGUGGUAGGAGAGCGUUCUAAGGGCGUUGAAGGUCGAUCGUGAGGACGGCUGGAGCGCUUAGAAGUGAGAAUGCCGGUAUGAGUAGCGAAAGACAGGUGAGAAUCCUGUCCACCGUAUGACUAAGGUUUCCUGGGGAAGGCUCGUCCGCCCAGGGUUAGUCGGGACCUAAGCCGAGGCCGAUAGGCGUAGGCGAUGGACAACAGGUUGAUAUUCCUGUACCAGUUGUUUUUGUUUGAGCAAUGGAGGGACGCAGUAGGCUAAGGAAUGCAUGCGAUUGGAAGUGCAUGUCCAAGCAAUGAGUCUUGAG